UAGGGAAUCUUCCGCAAUGGGCGAAAGCCUGACGGAGCAACGCCGCGUGAGUGAUGAAGGUCUUAGGAUCGUAAAACUCUGUUAUUAGGGAAGAACAAACGUGUAAGUAACUGUGCACGUCUUGACGGUACCUAAUCAGAAAGCCACGGCUAACUACGUGCCAGCAGCCGCGGUAAUACGUAGGUGGCAAGCGUUAUCCGGACUUAUUGGGCGUAAAGCGCGCGUAGGCGGUUUUUUAAGUCUGAUGUGAAAGCCCACGGCUCAACCGUGGAGGGUCAUUGGAAACUGGAAAACUUGAGUGCAGAAGAGGAAAGUGGAAUUCCAUGUGUAGCGGUGAAAUGCGCAGAGAUAUGGAGGAACACCAGUGGCGAAGGCGACUUUCUGGUCUGUAACUGACGCUGAUGUGCGAAAGCGUGGGGAUCAAACA
Molecule: ribosomal RNA, 427 nt
Filed under: uncultured bacterium
Lineage: Bacteria
Description: partial 16S ribosomal RNA
Rfam family: Bacterial small subunit ribosomal RNA
Source: RNAcentral